UUCUCGUGAUGCUGCGGAUUUUUCCAGAGGAAGUUUGACGCUAGACAGCAGAGCAUCAGUUCGUUGGUGAGGAAAUAAGAUAGCGGCCCUUUGGGGGGAAAUCAGCGUGAACUUGCUCGCCAGAAAAAUGCCAAGAAGCAAAGUGACAUGCACAAGGGCAAGAGAAAUGAUGACGGUUUAUCUGCUGCUGCCAGAAAGCAGAGGUAACCUACAACGUUGAUGUUGAUAUUGCUUUGUUCCAGUGAAUCCAAGCAUUCAAAAUGUGCUACACUUCAAAACACUUAUUUUGGGACACUUUAUUGCAAGUACUUUUUUUCCUUCUUUUUUAGAGAUGCAGAAAUAAUGCAACAGAAACAAAAGAAAGCCAAUGCGAAAAUGGAACCUAAAUCCAAAUAGUCCAAAGACAACAGCAAACCUGUUACCAUUGAUGUCAUUAGGCUUAAUUGGGGAUUUAUUUUUGUCGGUCUUGAUUUCACAGUUCUUGUUUUCUUUCAUAACAUUUAAUACUUGUACUGACUUUGGUUGAUUGGGUAUUAACUUAACUGUGCACAGGUCUUCCUUUUCUUGAUCAGCAUUUACAAUGUAAAAACCAAGAAUAACAGAUCAUCUUGGAACUGCAUACUCUUUUAUAGACUUUUAUAUACCAUUCCUUUUCUUGAAAUUGCUGAAUAAAGUGUACAUAAAGAGUGUGCUAUUGUUUCAAAAGAUAUGUGAAAUGGGUUUUAUAAUAUAAAACCAUUUUUUUCUUCUUGAAAGUUGGAUAGUUUACUAUAGGAUAAAAAAAAUAAAAUAAAAAAAACAGUAGUGCUGCAGAUCACGUCAGAACUUGCAGGGUUUCCAGGUUCUGAAUUAAACCCAAAUAAUGAAUAAAAAUCAUUUGAGUUAGUCUAAAAUUUUUAUUUAACACAAAUGUUAAAAACACUUAUAUGAACAUGUCCUUAGAAACAAAUAAUUCAAAUAAUUACAGCAUGUAAAACAAAACAAAAAAAAAAACAAAA
Myxocyprinus asiaticus (Chinese sucker) is the source of this 998-nucleotide RNA transcript. It is a transcript of the gene named small EDRK-rich factor 2-like, with no coding region annotated. The record is from RefSeq and is a predicted model, not a curated record. The transcript is spliced from 2 exons. Lineage: Eukaryota; Metazoa; Chordata; Actinopteri; Cypriniformes; Catostomidae.